AAUACGUGCAAGAUAGGUUGAUAAAAUCCACUCAUUUCAAUAAAAAAUAAACCAUAAAAUUGUGAUUUAUCGCUGUCCAACAUAAUUAAACUAGACCCAACUACAAUUGAGCAAUAAGUCUUAUAGUAAACCAAAAUAAAACAUGUGAUCCAUUUAGUACAAUAAGACAUUUCAAGAUGAGUUGUUCAUCACUAGCAGAUUCAUUAAUCCUUCUUUGGUUGAUUUAUGCUUGGAAUUAGAAUGAACUUAAACAUCUUUGAGGAAGUUCGAUUACCAACUACUGCUAUUAUUGUUACCACCGAUAUGGCAUCAAGUCAUCAACAUUGAUAUUUGGUUGUCCCUGUGAUGGCUUAGAUGUUAAGUAAGUGCUGCAUUUGUUUGAGCUUGGGUAUUGGUGACAUUCCUUUGGAUCUGACUUGCUGGUGCUGGGGUCCUUAAGAUCCUUUGCAUGGGCCUAAACCUUGUGGCACCAAUUUUGUGUUGAGUAGUAUUUGCUUAUGUAACCUUUGGGAGGGAGGCAUUUAGGGCUUUAGAUUGAAUCAUAGUGGGCUACAAAAUGACUACAAAAUAGAAACAUAUCAACAAAACCUGUAAACUAGAGGCUUUAAAUGACUACAAAAUUAACCGCAUUGUAUUAACUUACCCCUACUUGUAAUGCAAAUUGUAAGACAUUAAUUUUCUCAGCCUCACCAAUGGACCUCUUUGGCAUCUUUAUUUUUUUUUCUUGGACUUGGUCUAUAUGAACUCAAAAUUAGUAUCCACUAAUAAUAACAUUAGUGAUUAAAAUUGUCUAAAACUAAGACUUUAGUUAAGUGACUAUAUGUGUUGCCUCUUAAUAUGUUGUACUGGGAUACGAAUUUUAGUAAUGGCCACGUAGUAAAUAGAACCAUGUGUGUGUAUGUGAGUGGGAUGUGUGUGAGUGUGGCUUCAAAUUAGGGACUGUCCAAUCUAUCCAAACAAAAAAAAAAGUCUAAAUAUAGGUUCUAAUACGAUAGAACUAGUUAUUAAAAUCGAACCGGUAAUUGAUCCGAUGAAGUUACUGGGUCACUGAAUUAGUGGUUCAAUCGAUGGGUCAAUGGUCGAACAGUUUGACCUGGUAAUAAUUAAAUAAAUAUAUAAAACUAUAAUACAAUGUUUAUUGAAAAAUAAAAAUUAGUGUUUAAUAUUUUAUAUUAUUUAAAAAUAAAUAUAUAAAAUUAUAAUACAAUAUUUAUUAAAAAAUAAAAUAUUAUUUAAAUUUAAAUAAAUUAUAUAUAAAUUUCAUUAGCUCAUUGCUUUAAUGUGAUAUAUAUAAUUUAUAUAAAUUAUUAGCCUUUAAUUUAAUAGGUCUAAUCUGAAAAAAAUUAAAAAAAAAGUUACAUAUAGAUAAAAUUAAAAGUAAAAAUAUUUUGUUGAUAAAAAAUAAGAAACAAUCAAAAUUUUAAAAGAGAAAUAAACAUAUAUAAGUUGAAUUACAUAAGUAAACAUGUGAGGUUAAAAUUAUUCUAAUAAAAUAUGAACUAAUGUAAGGUUGCAAGGUUGGAGCAUUACUCAUGUGAACUUGGUUAUUAUAUAUUCUAUUAUUAGCAUACAAUAGAGUAAGAGUGUGCCUGAGUUCGAAUCCCAUGUGAAGCAUUCUUGUGAAUUAAUUCACAAGUUCUUCUACUGUGAUUCAGCAUCCCCGCUGGUGUACCGUGGAGGCGCAGGUCAGCGGCCCGAACUACACCGGUUCGUGUCGAACUGUCUGGUUUUUAACGGAUUUGACCACCGUUGAUCGGGUUAAUUACUGAAGCGGUCUAAUAAUAAAAUAGAACCGAAUAGAUCAUUGAUUUACUGGAUUUUUUAGUCAAAUCGACCGGUUCGGUUCGAUUCUGAUUACUAUGCCACAGAAUCCUCCAGGGAUGCAUUAUUGAUUUCCAACAAGGUUGUUGGUCAAACCAAAGCCUUCACCCUAAAUACCAUAAUUUUGUCUAAAUAUUAAUUUACUACAAUUAAACUCCUAUCCUUUUAAGUUGAGUACAAAUAAUUUCGGGACUAAUUUAAAUUAUGACACAUAACUAUCUAGGUUUUUUUAUUAAAAUAAAUAAACAAAAAUAUUUAAUUUCAAAAAUACGUGUGGAAAUAAAGUAGGACAAAAAUACGCAUGGCCAUUUCAAAGCCAGCACACACAAAAUGGAAGAACCUGGCAGAGCAGUGGAGUGUGGCGCGGGGAAAACGAGGAUUGAUGCCAACUCAAGCCUGGCGACCACGAGUUAGCGCACCUUGGGCAUGGCGACCACGAAUUGGAGCAAUUCACGCGAGGCACCCUCUUCCUUGAUCUGUGGCCGAGUUACUUAAAUCCUGUUUUUGGGCUUCUGGCAAUGAGUCGUUUCACGUUUUUUCCUUUCUUCUCUUUAAAAUAUCUUUUAUGUCUUCUAGAAAAGGUACAUUGAUACAUCUAGAAGGGGAAAUAUGGUUAGGAAGGACACACGGUUAAGGGAAGGAAGCUCUGGAUUUAACUAACUCAGAAAUGGAUCUGACAGAACGGGAAAGAUAUCAGCAGCUGGAGGGAGCCGAGAAGAAGAUUAUGCCUUGUGAGUCUAUUCUUCUCUCUAGUCUGUUCUUUAUUCUCCUAUUCUUUCUUCUCCCCUAUUAUUGACAUAAAAAUAUAAGGUGAAUUUUAUGGUGUAAAAGGAGAGACUCUUAUAUAUGUUGUAAACAGUAGAAAUUAUUAAAUGUCUAGAGAAAAAAAAUGUAAAAAUAAUGUCUGUCAUUGUCUGAAUAAGUUACAGAAUUCUUUUACUUCUUUAUUCCUUGAUGCACGUGAAGAAAUUUAGUUGUUAAAUGUGGUAAAUAUUUAUUUAAUUAGUGAUUAUGAAUAUGAUGUUGGGUCUUUAUUUAGAGACACUUUUUUGUAUUUGUAAAAUUCUAUUCGUGUUGGG
Molecule: long non-coding RNA, 2900 nt
Filed under: Arachis ipaensis
Lineage: Eukaryota; Viridiplantae; Streptophyta; Magnoliopsida; Fabales; Fabaceae
Description: long non-coding RNA (AIPA_LNC002519)
Source: RNAcentral